Molecule: non-coding RNA, 29 nt
Filed under: Mus musculus (house mouse)
Lineage: Eukaryota; Metazoa; Chordata; Mammalia; Rodentia; Muridae
Source: RNAcentral
UCCCAUGUGGAAGUGAAACCCAAAAAUCC